This is a long non-coding RNA of Triticum aestivum (bread wheat), 3417 nucleotides long. RefSeq lists it as uncharacterized. The transcript has 5 exons. Lineage: Eukaryota; Viridiplantae; Streptophyta; Magnoliopsida; Poales; Poaceae. The record is from RefSeq and is a predicted model, not a curated record.
AGUAAAAUAAAGAACUCUCCUCUCCUCUCGUAUGACCCCCACCAGGCUCCUCAGACACAUCUACCAUUUCUUCUGAUUUGCCGCCGGCGAAGGACGGCGUCGUUGUGCCCCAUCAGGAAACUAAUCCUCAUGUUAUCCCAGAUCCACAUGUCUCUUAUUUUCUCCUGAUUUUUCUUCCUUGGUGGUGGCACAUGUGGCUGGAUGAGUGGGUGGAUCUCGGCGACCUCGCUGCUCAAAAUUGUCGUAGCCGGAGGCCCUGGAUGCUGGGGCUGCUUAGGCAUUGAGGGAGGUCACGGAGGAACAAAUUUCAGCAAGACCAGUGCCAGGCUAAACUAUCUGUAUGUACACAGUAGAGAGGUCGUUGAUAUGCUUACAUCCUCUUCUGCUAUUAAGUUGCAAAAGCAAGCACGAAGGGCCACUUCGAGUCGCUUGGUGACAUAAUGAUUUUAGGAGCAUAACCGGCAAGCCUACCUUCAGUUUUAGCUCGUGGUUUGGAAUUCCUGGGAAGGUCAAUUUGUUAAGGAACUCUGUUGGACACAUAUUCUCCAUUGUGUUGUAAUUUGUUGUUGCCUUGCAUACAGUGUCCAAGCUUAGGGUGUGCAUAGUAAAUUCUUCCAUUCGCAAAGCCCCUUUUCCGCUUCUCCCAAGUUUUGGAGUCACUUUUCCAUACAAAUUUUGAUGGGAAUUCUGCAUAGGUUAAUUCUUUUCCCACCUCAUGUAUUUUGUUUGCCUCCAUCCACUCAGUGAACUUAGUACUUGUGGAUCCUGGCAUUCUUACUAUUUUUUCAAUGUCAGUCGAGUCCGGAAAAAUAACUUGUUGCUCGUUUUCAAUGUGGAAUGGCAGUCUCUCUACUGGUGGAUCACGAUGGUGUAUCUCGUCUCUAGGUAUUUCUUCAGAAUGUGGAAUGGCAGUCUCUCUAGGAAUAUCCGCCAGCAUGCUUCGAUUGUUGAUAUGUAUCUCGUCUCUAGGUAUUUCUUGGUUUCAUCAUAGUCGCUUGUCGCGUCCCUUUCCUUUAGUAAGGCUGUUACUUGGUCGUCAUCUUUAUGGAUGUACUUAAAUAGGUACUUGAUUGACCUGGACCUGUUGCACCAUUCCACAUUUAUGUGAGCUUGGAAUUUGACCAAAAGGUUUCUGUUGUAUGGCACAACAAAUCUGUUAUCGAGCAUUGCUCCUCCCUUUUUGAUAUUCCUUCCAUUGUCUUGCCUUCUAUAUACUGGAAAGCCAUCCUCAUCGAUUGUCGUAUCGAUAUUGUACCGUUUUGGGAAGUGUUUAGUGCAUUUGUUGUCUAUCAUGCAUGGUGAUUUUGUAUUUGCCUCUCCGCAAGGCCCGUGCAUCAUGAAGUUUUCAACAGCUUCAUAUCCGUCCAGAUCAACAUCUUUGUCUGGGAUCUCUGCACUGAUUAUUUGGUUGAUUUCUGAUGGUCCUUUGCACUUGUAAUUCUCCUUGAGAAAUACCAAUAUGUGCACAUGCGGGAGUCCCCUCUUCUGGAACUCUAUUGUGUAGAUAACUGCAUUGAUUGAAUAUAUAGUUUUAUUUUGUUAAAAUUUGGAAUCAUUUUAAUACAUAGAUAAAGGCUAUUGUGUGUUUAAAAAUUGAAACUUUAGGUCCUAUUAGUUAGCGAUUAGUAGUCGACUGAUCUUACUUGCUAUAGUUUCUCCAAACUGUUUCUUCACAACGAUAUCUCUCAUUAGCUCCUUCAGUUUUAUCAUGAAUACUCGGUCAACAAUAUCUGGUCGGUCGGCUGGCUUGAGCCCUCCUCCUGCUUCAUCUAGCAUGUAUUGGAUCUCAGGCCACUUUGCAUUGCAUGUGAAUGUUAUAAAUAGGUCUGGAUAUCCAGCCCAACGGCAUAUUGCAAAUGCGUCUUGCAAGUUUUGUGCCUUGUUUCUUCUACCUCCUAUAUAAGAUGAAGGUACAAUUAUCCUCUUUCCGACCUGCUCUGUUCUGGUGUCCCCUUGCUCAAUCGCGUCCUGCAGUCCACUGUAAAGUUCAGUUCGUAGCUUCCCUUGAUUAUUCCUGAUCCAGUUUAGUCUGUUUUGCUCAAUGCAUGUGUAAACAUCCACCCAAAAUUGAAGCGAGAGAUGUCUAGAUGUUAGCAAUGACAUUCCUUGGUCGGGUCUUUGUUGUAGGUAGUAUGCAUAGUAGUCCAGCAUAGUUACAUAUUUCCUGCUUUUGUCACCUUCUUUUGUUCGCUUGUAAGGUAUUUCAAGCUUGAAUCCAUCUUCUCCGUAUGGAAACAAUAACGGGUAUUGCAUUGACAUUAAUUUUGGAUGGAUUUCCGAUAUUCUGUGAGGUUCCAUAUUUUUGUACUCAACAACGAUGUCUCGUCCUUCGCUCUCUCCAGUAGGGUCUCCUACAACUAAUGCUGCAACGUCUGAUGCUGAUGGAAGGUUGUGUGUUCCGUUCCUUUUCCCAAGUAUUUGAAGCGUGUAAUCGUGGUAGUCUUCUUCUUCGAAUCUAUCUCUUGCUAUUCUGAAUGACUUUGCAAGGAUGUUGUUCUCAUCAAGCAUUUCUUGUAGUUCCUUGACAAUGGCAGGGUCCACUGUUGUUUUUUUAUCAUUGCAUCUUGAAGCAUCUAUCCUGUUUUGUACCUCAUUUUCUGUCUGAUAGAUGUAUAGCUGGGCAAAUCGAGGUUUGUUACCUUCUUCGGGUAGAAGACUUCCAAUAUGGUGGUAGUUCUGGCCAUGCAGUCUAAAAACAUAUGGUCCUUUGCCUUUGUUUAUUUCUUUGUCAACAAUUCCUCCCAUUGACGUGAAUGAGAACAUUGAGUUGUAUGACCUUAUAUUUUCUCUGAAGUUUGUUGCAUCACUUCCUUCACCUGUUAAUAGCCCUCCAAGGUAAGGUGGAGGAUAUGCUAUCUUUGGUAGGCCAAUUUUACCUUGUUUGCAGCAAAUUCCGAAAGAAGGUUUUUUGUUUCCUCUAUGAGAAUUUAAUCUUUCUUCACACCAUAGUAUUGCAUUGCAAUGUUCGCAUAUGUAUGUUGGCUUUCCAAAGUUCCAUAUCGUGCUAUAAUAACUUCCGGAUGUAGUGCUGCUGGUUCUUUCUAUGAUGUUUCUUUCAAGCUCAUUGUCGCUUGCAUUUUUUCUUGCACGCUUGACAUCUUUUCUUUCUUUGAUUUGUUCCUUUCUCUUCCCUGAAGCAUCUUCUUCUGUUUUAUUGGUUGUUUCCUGUGUAUUCCUGCAUCUCUUACUCCUUUUUUGUUGGAGUUGUUGUUUCCUCCUGAUAAUAGCUUCUCUAGCUUCUUUUGUAAGUUGGCCUGCUGAUUUUGAUGUGCACUGUCCCUUCAUUUCUGCAUUGGAUAUUCUUUUAGCAAUAUAGUAUAAUAUAAUUCUAAUUUCUGCAUAAUGUCGUCAAGAGGCUAACGAUAUAUGCAAUAAAUAGGAGAUGGUGGCUGCAUGUAGACAAUCUAUAAUACUUCG